UACGAAGGGGGCUAGCGUUGCUCGGAAUCACUGGGCGUAAAGCGCACGUAGGCGGCUUUUUAAGUCAGGGGUGAAAUCCUGGAGCUCAACUCCAGAACUGCCUUUGAUACUGAGAAGCUUGAGUCCGGGAGAGGUGAGUGGAACUGCGAGUGUAGAGGUGAAAUUCGUAGAUAUUGGGAAGAACACCCGUGGCGAAGGCGGCCAUCUGGACCGGUACUGACGCUAAGGCGCGACAGCGUGGGGAGCAAACAGG
RNAcentral lists this ribosomal RNA (253 nucleotides) under uncultured bacterium. Its description in RNAcentral is "partial 16S ribosomal RNA". It matches the Rfam family "Bacterial small subunit ribosomal RNA", at positions 524 to 776 of the family's 1533-position model. The record is from RNAcentral.